GCCCCCCAGGACCCCCCAGUUCCCAAUUUGGGGUCACCUGGGCACAGCUGGGCACACCUGGGCACACCCAAGCACACCUGGGCACACCUGGGCACGGCUGCUUCGUGUGCAGUGGGAUUUUUGGGAGGCCUUUUUGGGGUUUUUUUUGGGGUUUCUGGAGGAGCUUUUGGGGCUGUGUCUGCCUGGGGCUGCUGGGCUGGCACAGCUGGGCACACCUGGGCACACCUGGGCACAGCUGCUUGGCUCUGGGGGGCACUUUCGGGGUUUUUUUGGGGGGAUCUUCGGGCUGUUGCUGCUGGACUGACUCACCUGGGCACACCUGGCACAGCUGGCACACCUGGGCACAGCUGCUUGGCUCUGGGGGGCACUUUCGGGAUUUUUUGGGGGAUCUUUCGGGGCUGUUGCUGCUGGACUGACUCACCUGGCACACCUGGGCACUGCUGAACUCACCUGGGCACUGCCUGGGCAUUGCUGCUUCACUCUGGGGUGGAUUUUUGGGUUUUUUUUGGGGGUUCCUUGGGGAUCUUUUGGGGUUGUCGCUGCCUGGGGCUGCUGGACUGGCACACCUGGGCACACCUGGGCACACCUGGCACAGCUGGGCACACCUGGCACAGCUGGGCACACCUGGGCAUCGCUGCUUCACUCUGGGGGUCAUUUUUGGGGUUUUUGGGGUCUCUGAGGGCUUUUUGGGGCUGUCGCUGCUGCACUGACUCACCUGGGCACACCUGGGCACACCUGGGCACGGCUGAACUCACCUGGGCACCGCUGCUUGGCUCUGGGGUGGAUUUUGGGGGUUCCUUGGGGAUCUUUUGGGGCUGUUGCUGCCUGGAGCUGCUGGACCAGCACACCUGGGCACACCUGGCACACCUGGGCACUGCUGAACUCACCUGGGCACUGCCUGGGCACUGCUGCUUCACUCUGGGGUGGAUUUUGGGGGUUUUUUUGGGGGUUCCUUGGGGAUCUUUUGGGGUUGUCGCUGCCUGGGGCUGCUGGACUGGCACACCUGGGCACACCUGGGCACACCUGGGCACACCUGGCACAGCUGGGCACACCUGGGCAUCGCUGCUUCACUCUGGGGUGGAUUUUUGGGGUUUUUUUGGGGUCUCUGGAGGAGCCUUUGGGGCUGUCGCUGCUGCACUGACUCACCUGGGCACACCUGGGCACACCUGGGCACGGCUGAACUCACCUGGGCACCACUGCUUGGCUCUGGGGUGGAUUUUGGGGGUUCCUUGGGGAUCUUUUGGGGCUGUCACUGCCUGGAGCUGCUGGACCAGCACACCUGGCACACCUGGCACAGCUGGGCACAGCUGGGCACACCUGGGCACACCUGAACUCACCUGGGCACAGCUGGGCACACCUGGGCACACCUGAACUCACCUGGGCACAGCUGCUUGGCUCUGGGGGGCACUUUCGGGGCUGUCGCUGCUGGACUGACUCACCUGGCACACCUGGGCACACCUGGGCACACCUGGGCACACCUGGGCACAGCUGCUUGGCUCUGGGGUGGAUUUUUGGGGUUUUUUUGGGGUUCCUUGAGGAUCUUUCGGGGCUGUCGCUGCUGGACUGACUCACCUGGCACACCUGGCACACCUGGGCACAGCUGAACUCACCUGGCACACCUGGGCACACCUGGCUGUACCUGGCUGCUGCUGCUGCUGCUGCUGCUGCAUUAAAUUCGUCCCUGAGCGACCCCGGGAGUGGUUUUGGGGUUUGGGGAGGUCCCAAAAUCACCUGGGUGACCCCAAAAUUCACCUGGGGACCCCAAAAUUCAACUGGGGACCCCAAAACUCACCUGGGUGACCCCAAAUCACCUGAGGGACCCCAAAACUCACCUGAGGGGGGCACCUGGGGGACCCCAAAAUUCCCUUUGAGGAUCCCAAAAUCACCGGAGAGAUCCCCAAAACUCACCUGGAGGGCCAAAAAUUCACCUGGGGGACCCCAAAAUUCAUCUGGGGGGGGUCCCAAAUCACCUGAGGGACCCCAAAAGCACCUGGGAGAUCCCAAAACUCAUCUGGAAAACCCCAAAAUCACCUGGGGGACCCCAAAAUUCCCUUGGGGAAGCCCAAACUCACCUGGGGGGUCCCAAAAAUCAAAUGGGAGACCCCAAAACUCACCUGGGG
Camarhynchus parvulus is the source of this 2120-nucleotide long non-coding RNA. Lineage: Eukaryota; Metazoa; Chordata; Aves; Passeriformes; Thraupidae. The record is from Ensembl.